ACGGGUGAGUAACGCGUGAGCAAUCUGCCCUUCGGUGGGGGACAACAGCUGGAAACGGCUGCUAAUACCGCAUAAUGUAUUCGGGUGGCAUCAUCUGAAUACCAAAGAUUUAUCGCCGAAGGAUGAGCUCGCGUCUGAUUAGCUAGUUGGUAGGGUAACGGCCUACCAAGGCUUCGAUCAGUAGCCGGACUGAGAGGUUGAACGGCCACAUUGGGACUGAGAUACGGCCCAGACUCCUACGGGAGGCAGCAGUGGGGAAUAUUGGGCAAUGGGCGAAAGCCUGACCCAGCAACGCCGCGUGAAGGAAGAAGGCCUUCGGGUUGUAAACUUCUUUGACCAGGGACGAAGAAUGUGACGGUACCUGGAAAACAAGCCACGGCUAACUACGUGCCAGCAGCCGCGGUAAUACGUAGGUGGCAAGCGUUGUCCGGAUUUACUGGGUGUAAAGGGCGCGUAGGCGGGAUUGCAAGUCAGAUGUGAAAUGCUGGGGCUUAACCCUGGAACUGCAUUUGAAACUGUGAUUCUUGAGUAUCGGAGAGGCAGGCGGAAUUCCUAGUGUAGCGGUGAAAUGCGUAGA
RNAcentral lists this ribosomal RNA (577 nucleotides) under uncultured bacterium. RNAcentral's name for it is "bacterial SSU rRNA". It matches the Rfam family "Bacterial small subunit ribosomal RNA", at positions 102 to 694 of the family's 1533-position model. The record is from RNAcentral.